UAGCUAAUACCGGAUAACAACAGAUGAUGCCUAUCAACUGUUUAAAAGAUGGUUCUGCUAUCACUCUUGGAUGGACCUGCGGUGCAUUAGCUAGUUGGUAGGGUAACGGCCUACCAAGGCGAUGAUGCAUAGCCGAGUUGAGAGACUGAUCGGCCACAUUGGGACUGAGACACGGCCCAAACUCCUACGGGAGGCAGCAGCC
Molecule: ribosomal RNA, 202 nt
Filed under: uncultured Lactobacillus sp.
Lineage: Bacteria; Bacillati; Bacillota; Bacilli; Lactobacillales; Lactobacillaceae
Description: partial 16S ribosomal RNA
Rfam family: Bacterial small subunit ribosomal RNA
Source: RNAcentral